This 255-nucleotide unclassified non-coding RNA is filed under the name plant metagenome. Its description in RNAcentral is "partial contains small subunit ribosomal RNA and internal transcribed spacer 1". The stretch from base 1 to 46 matches the Rfam family "Eukaryotic small subunit ribosomal RNA", at positions 1786 to 1831 of the family's 1831-position model. The record is from RNAcentral.
AAGCCGUAACAAGGUUUCCGUAGGUGAACCUGCGGAAGGAUCAUUAAAAGAAUCUGUACCGAGCUUUAUCGUAAGCCCAGAGCUACAAUUCUAACACAUUCUGCGUAUCAUUCCUGUUGCUUCCGUGGGGUGGAGUCCGAGCAUGUCUCGGAUUGCUCUGACUAGCCAGUUGGCUGGUCCCCGCGGGAGGUAUCCUACAAACCACUUGCAUUUAUUUUUGCCUUCUGUCUGAAUAAUGUUAUAACAAUUGUUAAA